AACUUUCAACAACGGAUCUCUUGGCUCUCGCAUCGAUGAAGAACGCAGCGAAAUGCGAUAAGUAAUGUGAAUUGCAGAAUUCAGUGAAUCAUCGAAUCUUUGAACGCACCUUGCGCCCUUUGGUAUUCCGAAGGGCAUGCCUGUUUGAGUGUCAUUA
RNAcentral lists this ribosomal RNA (157 nucleotides) under Pleurotus djamor. RNAcentral's name for it is "5.8S ribosomal RNA". It matches the Rfam family "5.8S ribosomal RNA". From Rfam's summary of the family: 5.8S ribosomal RNA (5.8S rRNA) is a component of the large subunit of the eukaryotic ribosome. It is transcribed by RNA polymerase I as part of the 45S precursor that also contains 18S and 28S rRNA. Lineage: Eukaryota; Fungi; Basidiomycota; Agaricomycetes; Agaricales; Pleurotaceae. The record is from RNAcentral. RNAcentral also lists the same sequence under 1 other name.